UGUUUAAAUGGUUAGAGCGUCCGCCUCGGAAGCGGGAGGUCGUGGGUUCGAUCCCCGGUCGAGUCAU
Potamilus streckersoni is the source of this 67-nucleotide non-coding RNA. NCBI's taxonomy places the organism in Eukaryota, Metazoa, Mollusca, Bivalvia, Unionida, Unionidae. The record is from the annotation of a GenBank genome assembly.